RNAcentral lists this non-coding RNA (48 nucleotides) under Trypanosoma brucei brucei. The record is from RNAcentral. Lineage: Eukaryota; Euglenozoa; Kinetoplastea; Trypanosomatida; Trypanosomatidae.
UAUAAACAAACACAAUAUAAAGAGACAAAGGGUGAAUUCGUAUAUGAU